This 254-nucleotide ribosomal RNA is filed under the name uncultured bacterium. RNAcentral describes it as "partial 16S ribosomal RNA". It matches the Rfam family "Bacterial small subunit ribosomal RNA", at positions 524 to 776 of the family's 1533-position model. The record is from RNAcentral.
UACAGAGGUGGCAAGCGUUGUUCGGAAUUACUGGGCGUAAAGGGCGCGUAGGCGGUCUUGUAAGUCUUGUGUGAAAUCCCUCGGCUCAACUGAGGAACUGCACGGGAUACUGCGAGACUUGAGUUCGGGAGAGGGAAGCGGAAUUCCGGGUGUAGCGGUGAAAUGCGUAGAUAUCCGGAGGAACACCGGUGGCGAAGGCGGCUUCCUGGACCGAUCACUGACGCUGAGGCGCGAAAGCUAGGGGAGCAAACAGG